Ataeniobius toweri is the source of this 78-nucleotide non-coding RNA. The record is from the annotation of a GenBank genome assembly. NCBI's taxonomy places the organism in Eukaryota, Metazoa, Chordata, Actinopteri, Cyprinodontiformes, Goodeidae.
GGCGCUGUGGCUUAGUUGGUCAAAGUACCUGUCUAGUAAACAUGAGAUCCUGGGUUCAAAUCCAAGCAUUGCAUUUCA